Ornithorhynchus anatinus (platypus) is the source of this 463-nucleotide long non-coding RNA. RefSeq lists it as uncharacterized. The record is from RefSeq and is a predicted model, not a curated record. Lineage: Eukaryota; Metazoa; Chordata; Mammalia; Monotremata; Ornithorhynchidae. The transcript has 2 exons.
CGGGGGGAGGGAAGAGGAAAACUGCUUACCUCGGAAAACAGAAAAGCCCGGAAAAACUAUUGACAAUUCUUCCAGGACAUUGGUGUGUGCCUCAUCCGCUCAGAAGGAAUUUACAGCCUGCGGACUCUGGGAACCUGACUCACACAGCUCAAGACUGUAGAAAGAGGCUUCCGGAACCUCAGAGCGGUGUCUUCUUUAGCUGCAUCGCCCUGCCUAACUGCUUCUCUGCUUCCACACAAAGAAGGUGCAGAGUUCCUACUUGGGUCUCUCUGAACUAGUCUGCGUCUUAUUAGUCUUCGAUCUGAAUCGCGUUUCAAGACACUAGGUUUCUUUUUUUUCCUUUUCAAGCGUUUGCAGUUAACCCUUUGGCGCCCCAAACUUACCCGCAAACUCCAGCUUCCAAAGUAGCGACCAUUGUACGGUAUUGUAAAAUCUAGAGAAAUAAAAAAUCACCGGCAAGCAG